Oncorhynchus tshawytscha (Chinook salmon) is the source of this 840-nucleotide long non-coding RNA. Lineage: Eukaryota; Metazoa; Chordata; Actinopteri; Salmoniformes; Salmonidae. The record is from Ensembl.
GUGUGUGUAUGAGAAAGCGUGCGUGUGUUUGUGUGAGAGAAAGUGUGCGUGUGUUUGUAUGAGAGAAAGUGUGUGUAUGAGAGAAAGCGUGCGUGUGUUUGUAUGAGAGAAAGCGUGCGUGUGUUUGUAUGAGAGAAAGCGUGCGUGUGUUUGUGUGAGAGAAAGUGUGUGUAUGAGAGAAAAUGUGCGUGUGUUUGUAUGAGAGAAAGCGUGCGUGUGUUUGUGUGAGAGAAAGCGUGCGUGUGUUUCGUCGAGAGAAAGCGUGCGUGUGUUUGUGUGAGAGAAAGCGUGCAUGUGUUUGUAUGAUAGAAAGCGUGCGUGUGUUUGUGUGAGAGAAAGCGUGCAUGUGUUUGUAUGAUAGAAAGCGUGCGUGUGUUUGUGUGAGAGAAAGCGUGCGUGUGUUUGUGUGAGAGAAAGCGUGCGUAUGUUUGUGUGAGAGAAAGUGUGUGUAUGAGAGAAAGCGUGCGUGUGUUUGUACGAGAGAAAGCGUGCGUGUGUUUGUGUGAGAGAAAGCGUGCGUGUGUUUGUGUGAGAGAAAGCGUGCGUGUGUUUGUAUGAGAGAAAGCGUGCGUGUGUGUGUGUGAGAGAAAGUGUGCGUGUGUUUGUAUGAGAGAAAGCGUGCGUGUGUUUGUGUGAGAGAAAGUGUGUGUAUGAGAGAAAGCGUGCGUGUGUUUGUAUGAGAGAAAGCGUGCGUGUGUUUGUGUGAGAGAAAGCGUGCGUGUGUUUGUAUGAGAGAAAGCGUGCGUGUGUUUGUGUGAGAGAAAGCGUGCGUGUGUUUGUGUGAGAGAAAGCGUGCGUGUGUUUGUAUGAGAGAAAGUGUGUGUAUGAGAGAAAGCGUGC